UGGGGAAUUUUGGACAAUGGGCGAAAGCCUGAUCCAGCAAUGCCGCGUGUGUGAAGAAGGCCUUCGGGUUGUAAAGCACUUUUGUCCGGAAAGAAAUCCUUGGCUCUAAUACAGUCGGGGGAUGACGGUACCGGAAGAAUAAGCACCGGCUAACUACGUGCCAGCAGCCGCGGUAAUACGUAGGGUGCAAGCGUUAAUCGGAAUUACUGGGCGUAAAGCGUGCGCAGGCGGUUUGCUAAGACCGAUGCGAAAUCCCCGGGCUCAACCUGGGAACUGCAUUGGUGACUGGCAGGCUAGAGUAUGGCAGAGGGGGGUAGAAUUCCACGUGUAGCAGUGAAAUGCGUAGAGAUGUGGAGGAAUACCGAUGGCGAAGGCAGCCCCCUGGGCCAAUACUGACGCUCAUGCACGAAAGCGUGGGGAGCAAACAGGAUUAGAUACCCUGGUAGUCCACGCCCUAAACGAUGUCAACUAGUUGUUGGGGAUUCAUUUCCUUAGUAACGUAGCUAACGCGUGAAGUUGACCGCCUGGGGAGUACGGUCGCAAGA
RNAcentral lists this ribosomal RNA (545 nucleotides) under uncultured bacterium. Its description in RNAcentral is "partial 16S ribosomal RNA". It matches the Rfam family "Bacterial small subunit ribosomal RNA", at positions 355 to 893 of the family's 1533-position model. The record is from RNAcentral.